UUGGUCCAGGGACCAUGCAGAAUUGCCAGCCGCAUCACCGAGCUGUUCAUCUGAAAGGUAACACAGAGAAAAAAUCAUAAGCAGUCAGUUCAGCAACUAAUCUGUCUGUCAGUUGUAGUGAUAAAACCGCUUGUGGGGCUGAACAGGGAACCUUUUUUUUUGCUAAGUGACUUUGCAGUGCCUGUACCCGUGGAAUGAGGGAAAGUAAAGGGACUGAAACCAGCACCAAGGUGUAAGAUGGGAGCACUGCUGCUUCUUUGGGCAGAAGUACCAGAUUUGUGGCAGGGUCUGUGAGUUUUUGGGCUAACCCUGAGAAGCCUGAGAACGAACUUUGCUUUCAGUAUAUCAGAACACCAUGCUCAAGUCAGAGGAAAGGUUUUUUUUGCUUCCUUCAGUGUAGUGUCUCCUGUGAAACUGAUUCUCACAGAUCAAGAAAAGCAUAGCAUUUUUAAAACAAAACAUUUGUUAACUAAGGAUUUCCUGGAUUUUUCUGCUUUCUUAUUUACACUGUGAUCUGGAUACUGUGAAACCACUGUUUAACUUCCAGUAUUAUUUAUGGAAGCCAGGCUGUUGCUGUUUCCAGCCCUUACAGAGAACUUUCAGUUUGCAGUUUCAGUACCAGGUGCACAACCCCGGCUUAAAUUAAUCAGCUGAGAAGUAACACACUGUAAGUACGCAACCCUCUGGCGCCCUGGCUGAAGCUCCACAGGUAGGACCUUUUCUGCAGGCUGUAAGCUACCUCAGUAGUUGGGGUCCCAAAUCCUGAAAGCUCCACGUCAGUGACAUCAGAACUUGGGAUUCUCCAACCUUUUCAGUAGGUACAAGUUUGGGAGCAUUCCUGUUGUGCACAGAGAGAAAUCUGGAGUUUUAUCAGCAGACUUCAUGCCUAAGCACAGAAACAGAUUUUAGGAAACGAACAAUUUUUAUGAGGCUUUGCAUGUUACAACUACUGAUCAAAACUCUACAGUUCACAAUAGAAGGAAAUGGGCAAGGAAAAAUGAUUUAAGCAAACUGGAUCCAGUUUCUGUGCAGUCAGUGUGACUAUUCUGACUUAAAACCAUGGUGAAAACAUCAGUUUGAAGUGUGACUCCCCCAGCACAUGGGCCCUGGGCUUGCAUGCUGCAGCAUUAUGUGCUACCAUUCACAGCUGCAUAAACUAAGUGCAAAGUAGUUUGAAAUUGUUAGAAAAACAGAAAUCAAGAUUUUUAAUUAUUUUGCAUGAAUAAAAAUGACCACGUACAAGACAGUACAGAACCAGGUCAAUGAAGCUCACGUGACUGCUAUCUAAGCAAGGUUGUUAAUGAUUGCACAAUAGGGAGCUGUAACGAAUACAAGAGGAUGAGAGAGAGCAACAAUAAGUAACUUAUUGCAAACUCUGCUCAGGUGCUCCUUUACCUUACAGUUCUCCUGUCCGACACCUGCAGCUUUCUGUCACCUGGCAGAAGACCUGGCAUCAUUGCAUGAACUUCACCAUCACACCAACAGCAGUUACAGCCACCAGAAGUCUUCUAGGACAACAGAUAAAGGUUACAGCAUGCUGAGGACCUAAGUGGAUGUCAGUAGGAUGGAAUACCAUUGUUUUCAAAUGCUUUUUUGGAAACCAGGGGAAACACAUCCUCAAAGUCUUCGUUUAAAAGUAUUAAGACUACAAAAUCAAACACUUGCUGAAAUUAGAAAAUGCUGGGUUAGAAAAAGAAGCCCGGAAUCACGUAAUUAAAGAUUACUUUAGGGUACAUGCUUGGAAAGGCAACCUUUCUUCUGGCAUUUUCUAGCUUCAGUGUGCAGCAAAUUAUUCAUAUUUUGGCAAAGAUGUUGGAUAUGUAAAAUGUAUAUAUUAUAUAUAGAACCGUAUUUAUCUCUGGUAUAUUUUUGUCUCAUAAAUGCAGUUUCCUGUUUCCAUGUUAGAAAUUACAACAUUAACAUAUUCAGAUGCCAGUUGCUGGAUUUAUUUGCUUCUUGAUAAUCCAAAUGCUGAGCCUGGAUGUGCUCUGCCUCUCCAUACUUCAGUCUUAUCUAGCACUUUUUCUAAGCCACCCAGAUAAAUUAUCUCAGUGUCCUGAGGUAAAGUGAUUCUCUUGUCCAGGGUGUCUGGAUUGCUCCACUAUUUUUUUUUGCCACACAAGCAUAAGGUCUAGCGUUAAGACCGAUGAACAGAAGUUUUCUAUAUUUCACUAAUUUAAUUUUUAAAAAAAUGUGCAAUGCUGUACCAAGAAUUUUGAAAUAAAAGAAUUGGCUUUAAAAAUACUGCUUUAGCAGGAAUGUGGCCAAUUUAUUUCAGUGUGCAACAAUCCACAUAAAUAAAAAGCAACAUAUGAAUCUGAAAAUAAUCUUCCUGUAGAAUGAGAAAAGCGGAAAAAAGAAUAGAGAAGGAGACCCGCUAAUUCAUCUUCUUUCAAAUCAUGUAAGAAUGAAACAUUCAUUUGCACUUGAACAGAUUUAGUUCUCCAGAAGGAAGCAAAAACAGUUUCCCAUGAUUUUUUCCCUGAAAAUUUUGUAAAAAUCCUUUGAGUUACUAAGUUAAUAUAGAAGCAAAAGGAACAUAUUUAACUUUUAUGGCAUUCAAAUUCUGAAUCACACACCUCACUAAAAGAUAUAUUUUCAUUCAUGUCCUCUUUCUGUAAUAUGGAUGUUCUGCAAAAGCAGCAAAACACUGCUCUUUGUUGCUCUGUUAACUGUUCAGUAUCUCAAAGCGCUUUAAGUGGAAGUAAGUUUCGCAAUGUAUUGUGCAGACACUUCAGUUUCAUUUAGCAAACUGAGGCACUGCUAAAUCUGAGAGCAGAGUGCAGUGCCUUCAGUAACCCAUCUGCACGCCCAUUCCUUAGCCUUCCUCCUUCUUUCCAGCAUAUGCACACUUCCAGAAAAUAAAAGGCAGGCAAUGCACUUUGCAUCCUCUGGCCUGGUUAGGGAACUAACAGGACACAGACCCCAGAAAACAUACAUGCAAGAUGCAGGACACUGAACUUGUUAGUUUCAGGAAACCCUGAUUGCCUCCAUUCAGAGGUUAAUGAAAGAUAAUUGUGUACAUUUGCUGUUUGUUACUCAAAUAUCACUUCCUUAUGACAAUACGUGUUACCUAAUCUGCAAAGGUCAAUGAAUUACUCUUUAGUUCCUUCCAAAUGCCUGUGCAAUGAACUUUGCCAUUUCUAAUACAGACCUCUCAGUAAAGAACUGGUGGUGCAGGUUUGAGGCUUAGAGCACCUCUCAACCUGAAAGCACCUUUGAUGCCGAUGUACUUCUAGCACUAACCAUAGACCUUUGUAACUCUCAGACCCAAGCAGAGACUUCCCUGUAGAGCUGAUUCAGAAUUUGCACAGAAUCCAGCACACACUAAGCACAUAAGGAGUGUAGUUACGGGUUUUUUUUUGAAUCCUCAUGUGAUAUAAAUAUGAUUACCCAAUGUAUUGGUCCUCAAACACACGUGGAAGGAGAUUUCGGAACACUGAGAUGCACUAUCAUCUGAAGUGUGAUAAUAGGUAAUAGCUUGGGUGAACAACUUACUCCGCAUUGUCAAUUGGAUCACUUGAAAAAAAAAAAAGAGGAGCAAACAUGGAAAAAUUGCAGAUCCACAGCUGGUCAAAACUGCAUAAACACACAGAGGCUGGUACCACUGAAAUCAGUCCUAACGCUGCACAGAGCUGCUGAUUUUUCACCCCCUGUGGGGCUCCACUAAAAUCAGACAUGUUUGUAGGGAUCCUCAGCACAGCUUACGGGUUGGGGGCUGUGUUCUGAACCGGUGUGGAUAGUUUGAAUAGCACCAGAAAUCUCCAUGUAAAACCAGGACAGCAGGGUUUAACUUAGCAGGUAGUGGAAUGCACAAGCAUAGCACAGAGACAAGGCUGGGGAAUUAGGCUGCUGGCAAGGAGCAGCUGAAAGCUGAUUGAACACAACAGAUUGGGCUUUCAGUACUGGACAGAUAGGCAGCAGCUAUUUAAAUGGAGCAUUAACAGUUUUGCUCUUAAUUAUUUCCAAACCUUCCAGCUAAUGCAAACUCAGUAUGACAUGUAUCCUGGCCUCAUUUACUUGCUGUUUCUGUAGGAAUCCAGUUAAAGGAGAGUUGAAUGGCUUGUUGAGAAUUUCUGUUUAAAAUCAUUCUCCUGUAACUGCUUGGCUUCUUUCUUCAAGCAGCUCUCAUGUAAGUAAUCAAAUAUAUACCUCACAAAAAUGCUUACUUUCUCCGUUUGAAUUAGGAUUUCUUUCUGAAAUGACGCUGCCCUGCAAGGCAAGGAAUGGUCGUCAUUCUGAGCCGGCAGCAGGUGGAAGGCCAGUAAACUCCAGAGCAAAAGAGAAACUUUAUACCUUCACAAAAGGGAGAUUCCUGUCCUCACAGUUGUGGAUCAUUUGCUUUUUGGUCUGGGAUGACCUGAGAUCGUGGCAUUUCUAUGUAUAGCACAGCUUCUUCUGGAAGUUUUAAAAAGUGUAUUAGUCAUAAGUUUUAUCUCAGAUAAUUGUUCAAUUAGACUUGUGAAAGCCACAAGGGCUGGUUUAUAUCUCAAAGCACAAAGCUAAAUAACCUCAUAAACCUUUACUAAUAAAAACGUCAAAUUCAACUCAAACAUCCCUGAAAUAAGAGAAUGACCUUCCAGAAUCAUGUUCCAGCAAACUGUUCUAAUGCAAUUACUUCCAAAAAUGAGCGCUUUGAGCCUUGUUUUCAGACUUGUAUUUUCUAUACAUCCUCUGAUAUACUAUCUGCCAACAAAGAUUGGAAACCCUCAUCAGUACUAAUGUAGUAUGGAUCCAGGGUAGGUAUACAACAGCACUUGUGACAACAAAAUGGAAUGGAACAGAACAGCAUAGAAGUAGAAUAGCUCAGUUGGAAGGGAUCUUCAUAGCUCUUGUAGUCCAACUGCCUUCAGGGCUAACCGAAAGUUAAACCAUAUCAAAGAGGGCAUUAUCCAAAGGUCUCUUUAACACUGACAGGCAUGGGGCAUCACCCACCUCUCUAGGAGGCCUCUUCCCAGCCUUGCCCACCCUCCUGGCAUAGAAAUUUUUCCUAAUAUGCAGUCUGAACCUCCCCUGGCACAGCUCUGUGCCAUUCCCAUGUGUCCUGUCCUCAGUUAGCAGGGAGGAGAUCGGUGCUUCCCUCGCCAUUUCCCCUCCUGAGGAAGUUGUAGAGCAAUGAGGUCACCUCUCAGCCUCCUCUCCUCCAGACCAGGCAACCCAGGCAUCCUCAGCCUCUCCUCACAGGACAUUACCAGCUUUGUUGCCCUCCUCUGGUCACGUUCAAGGACCUUAACAUCCUUGCGGAGACCAGAACUGCAUGCAGUAUUCAAGGUGAGGCUGCACCAACACUAAAUACAGUGGGAGGAUCACCUCUUUUGACCAGCAGGCUAUGUUGUGUUUAAUGCAGCCUAAAGUGCAGCUUGCCUUUUUGAUAAUCUGUCAUAAUGACCUAUCAUAAAGACUGCUGACUGGCACAAAUCCAGCCCAUCAGAAAUCUGUCACCGUGAAUUUACAGCCUGAGAUCUGUAUAUUCCUUUCAUUAAAAAAAUAUGCAACGUCUGCUUUUUAGUUCAUCGUACUCAGGAAAGGAAGAACGUCCUCUCACCGAAAUGAAGUGAGAAUGAAUUUAACUGAGCCUCUUUCCUAAUCAGAGUAAUUGAAUUCAUUCUUCUUUGAGCCAAAAUGGCAAAAAAAUAAACUACUGGUACUGCCUCAGUUUACCGUGGUGAUGAGGUAUCUGUUCUGAAUGACUGAGAAAUUCAGAAUGAAUGAAAAUGCUCAGAAAAAGAAACAGAGCACAAUCUCACACGUGUCACCCAGGAUCAAACAAAAGGAUUAUCUGGAAAGUCACAGUUUCAGGUGGCAACCACAGCUUUACAUAAAAAGUGCAAAUGUAAAGGGGAUGAGUGUUUCCAUCAGAAAGCUGGACAUGGCACUUAGCAGCAGUUGCAAUCAGUAGCCUAUAUUCUUAGCCACAUGGAAAGAUAGAGGUUUUUCUCAUCAGCCAAGAUGUCUGGAGAAAGAAGAAACAGAACCAAUAGGAGCUAAUGGCUCUAGCACUUCUUAUUCAGCACAAAAAUGAUUGCGAAAUGCCCACUUCUAGUAUUUUGAGGCCUUAACAGGUGUCACGAUGUAGCACAACCCUGAAUUUGUCUCAACAUACAAGAAUGCGGACCACGACUCUGUGUUUCCUUAGGGAUGGUGAGCAUCCACCUGGCUUUGACAGAAUGCCUGCGGAAUUACCACAACUCAGUGAGUGUGGACAUUUUGAAAAAAGUCCUUAAAGGUGUUGCCUUUAAAGGUCAGUCUAAAGCAGUAGAGACCUUCCAGCUUUGCAGAGCAGCAUAAAGAUCUGCACAGCAAAUAUGAAUUAGCAGAUCUGCUCAUCCCUUCCUACAGCUGUCAUAAACAGGCGCUAUAGGCACACAAGCCAGAAACAAUUCAUGUCUUUAUCACUCUCAACGAGAUUUUCAUUUGUCUUUCUGCUUGGUCUUUUCUGACACAUUUGAACUGUGAAAACUCUUAAAUGUGAAACGGUAAUCAAGUUCACACUCGGGAAUGGUACAUGAACUCAACACACUGCCCCAAGGCUUAGGCCUGAAGGAAUUUCAGCUGUGCGGAGAUCCGAUGGAAUAAAUGAAGACAGAAAUACAAGGCACAUGCUGACAUCGCUAACUAUGAGAACAGGCAGGCAUUAUGGGACUGAUAAAAAUAGGAUGGGGGUAGAGGUGCAUGCAAACCAACAUGGCUUGCAACGACAGUGACUCACAUUCCUUUUGCACAUUGUUCUAGCUGCCAUGUCCUCCCCAGAUGAAGGCAACACCACCCAGCACAGCUGAGCCCAUGUGGGACAGCAACAAGGCUUGCUCUGUUCUCAGCGGCUGCUGCAGAAGUUCUGCCACACCUAAAUUAUUCCUGGAGUACUUGGUCCUCCUCCUCCACUUUCUGCAUGGCUGAUUGAAGCUGCAACCUGGCCCUAAUUUUGCAGCUAGUCUCAACAAGUACAGUUAACAGCCCAAAGCAUUCCUGGCAUCCUGGAGCAGACAUGAGCAAGUCUUUUAGUAGCUGAUACCCAAAAGAGACAGAAUAUAUUUUCCAAUUAUGGAUUUUGGAUAAAAGUUAGGAGUUACGAACUCCAGCUAGACAGUUUGUACUGUACCUUCCAAUUCAGCUACGGAUGUGAAAGAUUCUUGAAUUUGCAGUCAGAACAAGAUGGAGAACGUAAAGCUAUCUCCACAUGCUGGAAAUACUUGUCUCCUGGAAGCUUUCAUCGGGCUUGGACAGCUUAGGCGUGCUGAGGUGCCUUCCUUCUGAUUGGGGUCAAGAUAACCAUAUUCUUUAAGAGACAAGACAAAUUUCUUAGGAAACUUUGUGAAUCCCUAGAUACCAAAAGAUGGGAAGUAAGACUGUCUUCAGGUCACACUUUUAAGUUUAUAUGAUAUCAAUUGAUGCCAAAAUUAUCAUGUGCUGAUUCUGCUGCAGCAUCUGCAUGGACUAUUUGUAGUUCAUUCUGCGCUAUGUUGUGUAGGCCAAGCACUGUGUCUGCAAAUAUUCUUCAAAUUUUCAGCUGACAAAUGAUCUUUAAGGAUUUGAAAGGUAUCACUUGUGUAGAAAUCCUCAGUGAUCAGCUAGCAUCAAUCUUGCACAUCUAUGGAAAGGCAGGGAAACAAUCCUAAAGGAAAUGUAGAUCUUUAUCGUGCUCUGGAAGAGGAAGUCCUAGAGCAGUCUUUGAUUCAGCCAUUCUUCUCCUGAUGUUCACUGAGCUGUAACAGCACCCAGAGUCAGAAAAAACACAGGCAGAGAACUGUACUUUCAGGUUCUUUCCACAUUUUAUGUAGGGUCUGUGUUCAAAAGAUGCAAAAGAAUGGGAAGGAUCAAGUCUUCUGUUCUCAAUGGAAGAGACAGAAACAAAGGAAGUGGAGUUGUCAAGCUGUAGCUGGACUACUGAAUCCUAGAGAAUGCCAAGAGUUCACCAGGAUUUGGUAGAAUGCAAACUCUACUCUCCUAGCCACAUUUCUGCCUGCGAACAAGUUGAAAGGACACCAUAUCUACUUUUUUUUACAUACUCUGCCAAGUUCUAAUUGCACAUGCCAUUGUUUUGGUAUGCUUAAAUAAUUUUCCGUAAGCCUUUUUGGAGGCAGGCACAAAAAGGAAAACAAUAAUGACAUAAAAAAUAUGUAACAAAGGGAAAUAAUUAUGAAAUAAGACCUUUUUUUUUUUUUUUUCCUAAUACCAGUUUGUUUUGAAAAUUGUUACUGAUACUUAAUUAUAUUGCUUUUUCUAUAACAUUUACAAAUAAUACUUCAAAGUAGUAAGAAAACGAAGUGCAUGACUUUCAAGUGCUUUACAGGGGUUCUUGUAUACAAAGUCUAGUAAAAUGUGUUUGUGGGGAAAAAUGUUGGUGUGAUAAAUGUAUUUUUACAUAAUGUUACAUAUACUGUAAGCUGUGUUAGUAUGGUAGAAGAUUGGAAGCUACCCAGGCAUACCAUACUGCCAGUCAGUGAAAUAUAUUAAUUGAAGUAGCUGGGCUUACUGUGUAUAUAUCCAUUUGGGAAAUUACAUGUCCCUUAACGUUGCACAUGCACAUACUAUGGGGACUGACACUGAGUCUAUCAUUUGGAGGUGCUUGAUGACAGAGGUACAUAUGCACUUGUGUGUUGGAAAACUGAAAACUUAGGUGUGGCUUAGUUGGGCCUGUGACAGGCAUUCAUCAGUUGUUCUGUUGGCACUGUGUGCUUUUUUUCUAGGACAUUGUUUUGUAAGAAUAUGAAUUUCAGAUGCAUGUGUACCCUCUGAUUUCAGUUAUGUUUUGGGAUGAUGGAAUCAUGUAUUCAUAGAGCACCACGAAAAAUAGCAA
Molecule: non-coding RNA, 8797 nt
Organism: Anas platyrhynchos (mallard)
Lineage: Eukaryota; Metazoa; Chordata; Aves; Anseriformes; Anatidae
Source: RefSeq, a predicted model, not a curated record